GGGUCUCACCCCUCUACCAUUCCUUGCAUGGAGAGGGAUGCAUUUUCUGUCUCUUUUUUAAUUAUUUAGAGCUGAUACGUCAAAAUCUGACAAGUGUCACACUCUCAUUGCAUGCCACAUGGCUUUGGUGACAUGUUGACAAUGCUACGAUUGUUAGUCUAUAUAACGAAAUAUGAUGGAAGAAUGUAAUUGUUAAAUUUUAUGAACUCAUAAAGUGAUAAAAUUGAAAACCUAGAGACUAUUUUAAUUUUUGUGAAAAAAUAUGUUUAACCCUAUACUUAACAUGUUUUUGUAUGUGCAUGAUAAACUGUCAAAAUUGGCACAUGUACCCUCUAACUAUAUGUUAAUUUUGGUAGUUUAUAGGGCAAAUUGCAAAAUGCAUAUUAGUUAAGAGGAUGGAAAGUGUAUUUUCCUUUAUUAUUUGAUUCUAUUUUCUUCUCUCUCUCUCUCUCUCUCUCUCUGGUUUCCUUUCCAUAUGUCCCUUCUCUACCACUCCCUUCAUUCCAGAAAACUCCUUUUUUGUGCAUAGGACUGAACACUACUCGUGAGAUAUUUAUUCUUUGGACAUUUUCCUAAGAAUCACCUCUCUAGUUUGCCGUAGACUCCAAACAGGGCCUUUUAAACUUUGCUUUAAAGGUUGAUUGAGCAUAUUCAUGAGGAGGUCCCAUCCCAAAACAUCUUUUAUUUGUCGAUUGCAUUAUUUUUUACGGGAGACUAUUAUGAGGGAAAGUGGCAUGUUAAAGAUGCAGGAUAAUUUAUGAUCAAGAGGUAAAUAGAUAUUGGGUUUAGUCUCUGACCAUUUGAAUCAGGAGGAUUGAUUGCCUGAAAUUAUGGUGGAGAAUAGGUAUUCCAAGGAGUUGUGCCACCUAUUGCAUCUCUUUUAGAACUAAUGUGAUAAGGUCAUAUUAACUAUAAGGCCCAGCAUGCUUUUUAGUUCCCAGGUUUUGACUGCCACAUUACAUGUUUCAUAGAAUGAGAGUUAAAUAGUAUUGCGCAUGUGGUAUUGCAGAAAAGAAGUGAAAUUGUAAUAAAAGAAGACAGUAAAGGAGAUUUUUCGAAAGAAGAAAAAAGAUUAAGGUUGGGUUUGGAUAGUGAAAAGUGUUGGUGUUGUGAAUAGUAGUAAAAAAAUAAUAAAAAAGUAAUAAUUAAAUAUUGAAUGGUAGUAAAAAGUAAUGAAUAGUAGUAAAAAAUAGGUGAAAAAUAAUAAUAAAGUAAUGAUUAGUAGUGGAGUAUGUUGAGAAUACCUGAAGUAUUUUCAGUACCCAAACACAGCAGAGUGGUUAGUGAAGGGAGUUUAAUGGUGAAUAAUCUUGUCUGUAUUGGUGCUUACACACACACACACAUAGUGUGGGAGCGUUCUCAGUAUACUGACUGUUGGGGCCAUGUUUAUAAAUAUUAAAUGCAACUGAAAUGAUGUGAAGCUAAGGAGAAAUUGAAUCGCAAAAUUGUGCAACUUCUAGGUAAUUGAUCAUAUAGUUACAUUGCCAUUAGUGCCUAAGUUGUUUACUUUUAGGGAAGAAAAUAAAAAUCUGAAGUUUUAUUGAGAGCUGCUGACUUAAUACCUGGGCUGAAUUGCCUUAGACAAGCCUAAACUCUCGAGGUUAAAAUUUGAAUUGAAGCCUAUAGCCUCCUAAGCAAAAUCUUUAUUUAAACUAACGUGAAAUGAGUUCUCGAUGAACUCAAUGUUGAUAAAAAUUGAAAAGAGACAGCCUUGGGUUAAUGUAUCUUCAGAUUUUCUCCUGGCGCUGUGCGGGCUUUCACAGUUGGUGUAUCUGCUUGGCAUUGCCUGCAAGGGGAUAGAAAUGACUGGAAUAGCUUCAGGCCAAACGAUGAGCUUGCUGCAGUGCACUCUUUCUUUGCCUUGUUUCUCACCUUGUGAUUUGGUUUAUCAGAGAUGCUCAUGCCACCCUCUCUGUCAUCUGAUCUCUGGCUGCUGCGAUUAGUUGCUGGUAACAGGCCUUGGGAAGACGGAGUAGUGGUCAUCCGAGAUUCGUUGUGACCAUUGGAAUCAACAGGAGGUGAUUUUGAUUGCUGAUCUUGAAUACUGACGAAGCCAGCAAAGGAGAGUGAGUCAGAUGAACCAUUGUCUGCAGCAACAUCCACAGAUAUCUUGUUUUGAAGGUGGGUUGCCAUUGAUUAUAUGACACACCUUGGUUUGCUGGGAUUAGUGCUUAUUUAGAGAACACUGGAUUGGGUCUGUUUGGAUUUACCUUUUUGUUUGGUCCUGAUCUUAUUGCCGCCACCUGCCGGUAGGUGUGGGAGAUGCGGAUUGCUGAAGUUUAGGAAUCAGGAUAAAAGCGAAACGCAUACAUUUGCUUAAAACUACAACAGUGAGUACUAAUGAUUUUAACUAUGGGAAAUUUGGAAGUUCAAAGUAGAUAAGAUUCCGAUUGUCUUGUCCUCUGGUCUUUUUACUCCAAGCAUCUUGAAUUUCGUUUUUCACUUUGGUGGAAAUACCAAAGAAUUGUUAUAGUUUUAUGCAUCGUUCUCAAACUUGAUGGAUCCCCUGCCUGCUAAUGCUGAAAACGACCCCAAGAAAGCUUAUUAGUAUGUUUCAAUACGUACUUCCAAGGAUGGCUCAAGUUGCUGAUGCGUACGAGGAUAACAUGGUUAGUCACACUUGGAAGUAAGGAAUGGUGGAAAGAUCUUAGUGGAGGAUUGGGGUUCGAUUCCACUUAUUCGGCCAUGCCAUGGGCAUAGGGAACAUUACUAUGAUGUAUUGGUGGAGAUUCCUAGGUAAGUGUCUUCUGUUAAAAAUUGUGGCAAUGAUAACGAUAUCCAUCGUUAUCAACGGACUGCAAUCGCGUUUGGGAUAGAGAGGGGGGCUGGGCUUUAGCCUGCAAAAUCUAUACACUGGCAGCCGGAUGAUCAAAACUUUCAAGCUUUUGGGCUGUGACCAUUUCAUAUGGUUGAAAUCUGUAACGUUGAAAUUUGGCUAGGCUACUUGUUUAAUUCCUAAGUGCUGUUUUAUUUUGAUUGAUA
This is a long non-coding RNA of Carya illinoinensis, 2982 nucleotides long. RefSeq lists it as uncharacterized. The transcript has 2 exons. The record is from RefSeq and is a predicted model, not a curated record. Lineage: Eukaryota; Viridiplantae; Streptophyta; Magnoliopsida; Fagales; Juglandaceae.